This is a long non-coding RNA of Homo sapiens (human), 411 nucleotides long. Ensembl annotates it as deleted in malignant brain tumors 1 like 1 (pseudogene). Its record names the gene DMBT1L1. Lineage: Eukaryota; Metazoa; Chordata; Mammalia; Primates; Hominidae. The record is from Ensembl.
CUUCCACUGCCUCUCUGCCUUACCUAGGAGCAUCUGCUGCUGUGAGUUACCCAACCUCAGCAUCUUUUCCAAAGCCAACAGAGGUGCCCACAUGGACAGGUCUGGGACUGCGGCUGGUGAACGGGUCCAGCAGAUGUGAGGGCCGAGUCGAGGUCUACCAUGCCAAUGCCUGGGGCACCGUGUGUGAUGACAGCUGGUCUAUAGAGGAUGCCCACGUGGUCUGCAGGCAGCUGGGCUGUGGCCUGGCCGUGUCUGCCCUCCCAGGAGCCAGCUUCAGCCCUGGAUCAGGCAGCAUCCUCCUUGAUGACGUCAACUGCACGGGAAGGGAGUCCUCCCUGGGGCAGUGCCCUCACAGAGGUUGGUACACCCACAACUGUGGGCACCAUGAAGAUGCUGGCGUCAUCUGCUUAG